UGAGGACAGCAGAGGAAGGUGGAAUUCCCGGUGUAGUGGUGAAAUGCGUAGAUAUCGGGAGGAACACCCGUGGCGAAGGCGGCCCUUCUGAGCUGUUCCUGACGCUGAAGGCGAAAGCUAGGGGAGCGAACGGGAUUAGAUACCCCGGUAGUCCUAGCUGUAAACGAUGGAUGCUGGGUGUGGGGGGUGUAAAUUCCCUCUGUGCCGAAGCAAACGCGUUAAGCAUCCCGCCUGGGGACUACGGCCGCAAGGCUAAAACUCAAACGAAUUGACGGGGGCCCGCACAAGCAGCGGAGCGUGUGGUUUAAUUCGAUGCUACACGAAGAACCUUACCUGGGUUUGACAUGCACGUGGUAGGGAACCGAAAGGGGACCGACCUUCGGGAGCGUGCACAGGUGCUGCAUGGCUGUCGUCAGCUCGUGCCGUGAGGUGUCGGGUUAAGUCCCGUAACGAGCGCAACCCUUGCCCUUAGUUACAAGUGUCUAAGGGGACUGCCCGGGACAACUGGGAGGAAGGUGGGGAUGACGUCAAGUCAGCAUGGCCUUUAUAUCCAGGGCUACACACACGCUACAAUGGCCGGUACAAUAGGUUGCGAAGUCGUGAGGCGGAGCCAAUCCUCAAAGCCGGUCUCAGUUCGAAUUGCAGUCUGCAACUCGACUGCAUGAAGCUGGAGUUGCUAGUAAUCGCAGGUCAGCUAUACUGCGGUGAAUACGUUCCCGGGCCUUGUACACACCGCCCGUCACGUCAUGGAAGCUGGCAACGCCUGAAGCCGGUGAGCUAACCCGAAAGGGAGGCAGCCGUCGAGGGUGGGGCUGGUAACUGGGACGAAGUCGUAACAAGGUAACCAAGGGCGAA
This 855-nucleotide ribosomal RNA is filed under the name uncultured organism. Its description in RNAcentral is "bacterial SSU rRNA". It matches the Rfam family "Bacterial small subunit ribosomal RNA", at positions 642 to 1510 of the family's 1533-position model. The record is from RNAcentral.